This 490-nucleotide ribosomal RNA is filed under the name uncultured bacterium. RNAcentral's name for it is "partial 16S ribosomal RNA". It matches the Rfam family "Bacterial small subunit ribosomal RNA", at positions 30 to 507 of the family's 1533-position model. The record is from RNAcentral.
AUUGAACGCUGGCGGCAGGCCUAACACAUGCGAGUCGAACGGUAACAGGAAGCAGCUUGCUGCUUCGCUGACGAGUGGCGGACGGGUGAGUAAUGUCUGGGAAACUGCCUGAUGGAGGGGGAUAACUACUGGAAACGGUAGCUAAUACCGCAUAACGUCGCAAGACCAAAGAGGGGGACCUUAGGGCCUCUUGCCAUCGGAUGUGCCCAGAUGGGAUUAGCUAGUAGGUGGGGUAACGGCUCACCUAGGCGACGAUCCCUAGCUGGUCUGAGAGGAUGACCAGCCACACUGGAACUGGGACACGGUCCAGACUCCUACGGGAGGCCGCAGUGGGGAAUAUUGCACAAUGGGCGCAAGCCUGAUGCAGCCAUGCCGCGUGUAUGAAGAAGGCCUUCGGGUUGUAAAGUACUUUCAGCGGGGAGGAAGGGAGUAAAGUUAAUACCUUUGCUCAUUGACGUUACCCGCAGAAGAAGCACCGGCUAACUCCGUG